GUGUCAGCCGCCGCGGUAAAACGUAGGGGGCGAGCGUUAUCCGGAAUCACUGGGCGUAAAGGGCGUCUAGGCGGCACGCCAAGUCUUGCGUGAAAGCUCCUGGCUCAACUAGGAGAGUGCGUGGGAAACUGGCGAGCUAGAGACGUGGAGGGGUGCACGGAAUUCCCGGUGGAGUGGUGGAAUGCGUUGAGAUCGGGAGGAACACCAGAAGCGAAGGCGGUGCACUGGCCACGGACUGACGCUGAAGCGCGACAGCGUGGGGAGCGAACGGGAUUAGAUACCCCUGUAGUCC
This 292-nucleotide ribosomal RNA is filed under the name uncultured bacterium. RNAcentral's name for it is "partial 16S ribosomal RNA". It matches the Rfam family "Bacterial small subunit ribosomal RNA", at positions 505 to 796 of the family's 1533-position model. The record is from RNAcentral.